AGUGAACGCUGGCGGUAGGCCUAACACAUGCAAGUCGAACGGCAGCACAGUAAGAGCUUGCUCUUACGGGUGGCGAGUGGCGGACGGGUGAGGAAUACAUCGGAAUCUACUUUUUCGUGGGGGAUAACGUAGGGAAACUUACGCUAAUACCGCAUACGACCUACGGGUGAAAGCAGGGGAUCUUCGGACCGUGCGCGAGUGAAUGAGCCGAUGUCGGAUUAGCUAGUUGGGGGGGGAAAGGCCAACCAACGCGGCGAUCCGUAGCGGGACUGAGAGGGUGUCCUGCCAAAUUGGCACUACGCUACGGCCCAGACUCCUCCUGGGGGAAGAAGGGGGGCAUAUUGCACAGCGGUCUGAAGCCUGAUGAAAAACCGCCGCGUGCGGGAUGACGGCCUUCGGGUUGAAAACAGCAUUCGCCCGUGACGAAGCGUCAGUGACGGUAACGGGAAAAGAAGCAACGGCUAACUACGUG
RNAcentral lists this ribosomal RNA (472 nucleotides) under uncultured bacterium. Its description in RNAcentral is "partial 16S ribosomal RNA". It matches the Rfam family "Bacterial small subunit ribosomal RNA", at positions 29 to 507 of the family's 1533-position model. The record is from RNAcentral.